CUUGUACUCCCUCCGUCCGAAAAUACUUGUCAUUGAAAUGGAUGUAUCUAGAUGUAUUUUAGUUCUAGACACAGACAUUUUGAUGACAAGUAAUUCCAGACGGAAGGAGUACUUG
Molecule: non-coding RNA, 115 nt
Organism: Triticum aestivum (bread wheat)
Lineage: Eukaryota; Viridiplantae; Streptophyta; Magnoliopsida; Poales; Poaceae
Source: Rfam